GAUGAACGCUGGCGGCGUGCCUAAUACAUGCAAGUCGAGCGAACAGACCAGGAGCUUGCUCCCCUGACGUUAGCGGCGGAGGGGUGAGUAACACGUGGAUAACCUAACUAUAAGACUGGGAUAAUUUCGGGAAAUCGGGUCUACUACCGGAUGAUAUAUUGAACCGCGUGGGUCAAUAGUGGAAGUCGGUUUUUCUGACACUUAUAGAUUGAUCCGCCCAGCAUUAGCUAGUUGGUAAGGUAACGGCUUACCAAGGCUACGAUGGUGAGCCGGCCUGAGCGGGUGAUCGGACACACUGGAACUGAGACACAGCCCAGACACCUACGGUAGGACGCAGUAGGGAAUCUUCCGCAAUGGGGGAAAGCCUGACGGAGCAACGCGGCGUGAGUGAUGAAGGUGCUCGGAUCGGAGAGCGCUGAUAUUAGGGGAGAACAAAUGUGUAAGUAACUAUGAACGUAUUGACGGUACCGAAUCAGAAAGCCACGGCUAACUACGUG
RNAcentral lists this ribosomal RNA (497 nucleotides) under uncultured bacterium. Its description in RNAcentral is "partial 16S ribosomal RNA". It matches the Rfam family "Bacterial small subunit ribosomal RNA", at positions 28 to 507 of the family's 1533-position model. The record is from RNAcentral.